GCCAAGUGCGAUGGUGCAUGCCUGUAGUCCCAGGUAGUUGGAAGGCUGAGGCAGGACAGCUCGAGCCCAGGAGUUCUGGGCUGCAGUGCACUGUGCCAAUGGGGUGUCCACACUAAGUCUGGCACCAAUAUGGUGACCUCCCUGGAGCAGGGGACAACCAGGUUGCCUAAGGAGGGGUGAACCAGCCCAGGUCAGAAAUGGAUCAGGUCAAAACUCCUGUGCUGAUCAGUAAUGGGACCAUGCCUGUGAAUAGCCACUGCACUCCAGCCUGGGCAACAUAACGAGGUUCUGUCCCUA
Molecule: unclassified non-coding RNA, 297 nt
Organism: Macaca fascicularis (crab-eating macaque)
Lineage: Eukaryota; Metazoa; Chordata; Mammalia; Primates; Cercopithecidae
Rfam family: Metazoan signal recognition particle RNA
About the family: The signal recognition particle (SRP) is a universally conserved ribonucleoprotein. It is involved in the co-translational targeting of proteins to membranes.
Source: Ensembl